CGGGGCGUAGCGCAGUCCGGUCAGCGUGCCUGCUUUGGGAGCAGGGGGUCGGAGGUUCAAAUCCUCUCGCCCCGA
Molecule: transfer RNA, 75 nt
Filed under: Synergistaceae bacterium
Lineage: Bacteria; Thermotogati; Synergistota; Synergistia; Synergistales; Synergistaceae
Description: tRNA-Pro
Rfam family: tRNA
About the family: Transfer RNA (tRNA) molecules are approximately 80 nucleotides in length. Their secondary structure includes four short double-helical elements and three loops (D, anti-codon, and T loops).
Source: RNAcentral